CCAUUUUUUCAGUUCAAACCCUUUUAAAGCCCUCGAGAUUAAGUGAUGAGAACUUCAAGAAAUAUCAACGCGACCAAGAAAGUUUAUUAGAAUCGUGUCAAUUGGAUUUGAAGUCACAACAAAAUGAGAAAAUUAAUAUUCGCCAUAGCCAGAUUGAGUGUGAACAGAAACUUCAAAAUAAACAAUCUUUGAAUACGGAUAUAUCGAGUCUGAAGAAGAAACUAGGUAUGGCACAUUGAAUGGAUUUUUCCGAGUAAAUUGUAAAGUGUUAUAAUUUGUAGAUGACUGUCGAAAUAC
Long non-coding RNA from Drosophila nasuta, 297 nucleotides. RefSeq lists it as uncharacterized. The transcript is spliced from 3 exons. The record is from RefSeq and is a predicted model, not a curated record. Lineage: Eukaryota; Metazoa; Arthropoda; Insecta; Diptera; Drosophilidae.